GAUGAAGAACGUAGCGAAAUGCGAUAAGUAAUGUGAAUUGCAGAAUUCAGUGAAUCAUCGAAUCUUUGAACGCACAUUGCGCCCGCCAGCAUUCUGGCGGGCGUGCCUGUUCGAGCGUCAUUUCAACCCUCGAGCCCCCCCGGGGGCCUCGGUGUUGGGGGACGGCACACCAGCCGCCCCCGAAAUGCAGUGGCGACCCCGCCGCAGCCUCCCCUGCGUAGUAGCACACACCUCGCACCGGAGCGCGGAGGCGGUCACGCCGUAAAACGCCCAACUUUCUUAGAGUUGACCUCGGAUCAGGUAGGAAUACCCGCUGAACUUAAGCAUAUCAAUAAGCGGAGGA
This 343-nucleotide unclassified non-coding RNA is filed under the name soil metagenome. RNAcentral's name for it is "partial contains 5.8S ribosomal RNA, internal transcribed spacer 2, and large subunit ribosomal RNA". The stretch from base 1 to 120 matches the Rfam family "5.8S ribosomal RNA", at positions 35 to 154 of the family's 154-position model. The record is from RNAcentral.